GAUGAACGCUGGCGGCGUGCCUAAUACAUGCAAGUCGAGCGAACGGACGAGAAUCUUGCGUCUCUGUUGUUAGCGGCGGACGGGUGUGUAACACGUGUAUAACCCACCUAUCAUUCUGGGAUAAUUUCGGGAAUGCGGCUCUUAUACCGUAUGAUAUUUUGAACCACAUUGUUCAAUAGUGAAAUACGGUGUUUCUGUCACUUAUAGAGGGAUCCGCGCUGCAUUAGCUAGUUGGUAAGGUAACGGCUUACGAAGGCAACGAUGCAUAGCCGACCUGAGAGGGUGAUCGGCCACACUGGAACUGAGACACGGUCCAGACUCCUACGGGAGGCAGCAGUAGGGAAUCUUCCGCAAUGGGCGAAAGCCUGACGGAGCAACGCCGCGUGAGUGAUGAAGGUCUUCGGAUCGUAAAACUCUGUUAUUAGGGAAGAACAUAUGUGUAAGUAACUGUGCACAUCUUGACGGUACCUAAUCAGAAAGCCACGGCUAACUACGUG
Molecule: ribosomal RNA, 497 nt
Filed under: uncultured bacterium
Lineage: Bacteria
Description: partial 16S ribosomal RNA
Rfam family: Bacterial small subunit ribosomal RNA
Source: RNAcentral